RNAcentral lists this ribosomal RNA (253 nucleotides) under uncultured bacterium. RNAcentral's name for it is "partial 16S ribosomal RNA". It matches the Rfam family "Bacterial small subunit ribosomal RNA", at positions 524 to 776 of the family's 1533-position model. The record is from RNAcentral.
UACGAAGGGGGCUAGCGUUGCUCGGAAUCACUGGGCGUAAAGCGCACGUAGGCGGAUUGUUAAGUCAGGGGUGAAAUCCUGGAGCUCAACUCCAGAACUGCCUUUGAUACUGGCAAUCUCGAGUUCGGGAGAGGUGAGUGGAACUGCGAGUGUAGAGGUGAAAUUCGUAGAUAUUCGCAAGAACACCAGUGGCGAAGGCGGCCAACUGGUCCGAUACUGACGCUGAGGCGCGAAAGCGUGGGGAGCAAACAGG